AUUAAACUCGAGCCUUUUUGUGCUCUAACCAAAUGCAGUCAUUGGCUCCUGUAAGCAGGCAGGAAACGAACAGGCACAGAUGAGCUGACCUUGGGUGCCUUGCUAACCUAAGACGUUUCAGGUCAGCCGUGCCGGACUGCGACACUGUAGUGACUGAGUCUCCUUCACAAACCACUGUGUUAUUGCCACCCUUUGAAAGUACAAGAUGGCGCUUCCUGAGAAACACCUUGAAGCCCUCAGUGGAGAUCCCUUUGGCCGGGGUCAGCCUCCUCUCCUCAUCCUCCUCUCCUCCAGGGGUCACCUGGACGCCCACUUCCACCGGAACAGCCCCUCUUCCCAGCUCCAGUGACCUGCCCCUGGGAGAGAUGGGAAGACCCAUAACCCCGCCAGCUUCCCCAGGUUUGGAGAAGGACCCCAGUCCGCCAACAGGCCCCCGGCACAGACGGCGCUUGUGCUCGAUGAAAACCAGGAUAUCACCCAGAGGGAAGUUAGUCUGGCACUGGCCGCAGGUCAAGAGAUCAUGCUCUCCAGAUGCUGUCCUCCGAGGGCUGGGGGUGGACAGCUCAAGUGAUGGAGUUCCUGCCGCUGAGUCAUGAUUGACCUCUGCUGCAGAAAUAAGAAG
Archocentrus centrarchus (flier cichlid) is the source of this 622-nucleotide long non-coding RNA. RefSeq lists it as uncharacterized. NCBI's taxonomy places the organism in Eukaryota, Metazoa, Chordata, Actinopteri, Cichliformes, Cichlidae. The record is from RefSeq and is a predicted model, not a curated record. The transcript has 3 exons.